This 388-nucleotide ribosomal RNA is filed under the name uncultured bacterium. RNAcentral's name for it is "bacterial SSU rRNA". It matches the Rfam family "Bacterial small subunit ribosomal RNA", at positions 28 to 416 of the family's 1533-position model. The record is from RNAcentral.
GACGAACGCUGGCGGCGUGCUUAACACAUGCAAGUCGAGCGGUAAGGCCCUUUCGGGGGUACACGAGCGGCGAACGGGUGAGUAACACGUGGGUGACCUGCCCUCAGCUCUGGGAUAAGCCUGGGAAACCGGGUCUAAUACCGGAUAUGACUCCAUGACGCAUGUUGUGGGGUGGAAAGCCUUGUGCGGCUGAGGAUGGGCCCGCGGCCUAUCAGCUUGUUGGUGGGGUGAUGGCCUACCAAGGCGACGACGGGUAGCCGGCCUGAGAGGGCGACCGGCCACACUGGGGACUGAGACACGGCCCAGACUCCUACGGGAGGCAGCAGUGGGGAAUCUUGCGCAAUGGGCGAAAGCCUGACGCAGCGACGCCGCGUGAGGGAUGACGGCC